ACAGUAAGACCGGUCGACGGAUUGUCAAUAUGAGGUUCACAUGAGGAUACUAGAACAAUCGCAGCGCCAAGAAGAAAGAUCGAUACAUAUUAUUACUGUAAUCGAGGAAUUUAUUCAUGAAAGUAUGGAGAACGUUCUUGAAAUGUCUGAUCGAACUCUGCGUGCAAUUCAGGGCAACGAAGAACCAGAUUAACUCAAUCUACUAUCGUUACGUUUAUAAAGGUUUAAUAAUAAGCAGAAUAUUCUCGAAAGAGAAAUUAUAGAAAACGUUUGGAUCGCGUAUCGUUUUCCUUGAUGCUUAUCGUGAAGCGAAACAAAGAAUAUUUGCAGUGUGUGGCACUGCGGAACAUUUGAUAAAACCCGUUCGACCAAACGAGCGAAAGCGAGCAAGGUGAAUGGAGAGCACUCAGAAAAAGUUGCAACGACGCCAAAGACUAAUUACGUUCAUCAAGAAGGAGCCAUUUUCGUAAGAACGUAAAAAAGGAACACGAAAGAUACACGUCAGACAUUGUAAUCGUUGAUUGCACUCGCUGUACGCGCGUAGGUAUCAGGUACUCCAUUCAACCAUAACUCAUAACUUUUAUGACGCUUUCGCGAAGGUACCUUAUUAACAUUCAGCCGCACUAAUUUAUCCCUGGAGAACUGACUUUUAAUUGGGAAGUAUCAGGAACGACGUCGUACCUUCACGAGACGAUUAUUAUUACAAAUGUAACAGCAAAUGUAGCAGCAGCGAGCUUGAAAGUGGACGUACCGCCAACCUGAAGUUUUCAUCUAUCAAACUUUAAUAUUAAAGAGUAUAAUGUCAUAAGUACUGCGUAAUAUAAUGGAAUUCGUCAAAAAGAAAGUGUUGGCUAUUGAUGAAUCAAACAUUCGAUUUUUUGUUUUGUUUUAGAAUUUAGAUCAUAGAUCACGUAACUACAGACAAUACAGCAAUACUUUUACUUAUUUUCCUUUUGAUAGAUCACACAAUUUUACACACACAGGUACAAUGAAACAUUAACACUGAUAUAAUAACGACAAGAAGAUUUAAUUAACCACCGUCAGACACAAACAAUUGACUUUGGAAGCGCAGCGAAGAGAUUCGGAUUGUCCCCGCGAAGGAACGCAAGUUGCCAAUGUUGACGCGAACGUCCUUUUUUCGUUGCAAUUCAAGGGUAAUCCAUACAGGGUAAUCGCGACUGGGCUAAUCUAUGGUAAUGGAGUAUCCGGCCUCAUUGUCGAUCAUUGCCGUAUUACCAGGGCCAGAUUGCGAGCCGUCAUUAUCCCGCGCGUCUCUCGUGUUCCUAAACGAUCUAGAAAUGAUGCCUCGGUGAUUAUAGAGCUUCGGGGCCAGUUCAAUGCUCGUCAUGUACGGCCCCGUACUUCGAGUAUGCGAGAGAGUAAUCGCCGAUGAUGCAUCGCAUAAAAUAUUUCACUUGACGAAUAUUUCCGUGCGGCGUGGCUAAUGGCGCGCGAUCGUAAAACGCGACAGUUUUAAAACGCACUUUUCACCUCGUUUAAAAGGCCGACGGCAGCGGAACGGCAGCGAGCACAGGUUGCAACGCGAUAUUAUUCACUUCGAUAACGACCGUCGUCACUAAACACGUACAAUCCUGCCGCGCCGGUGGAAUUAAGUUUCUUCUCGUUCCUCGUUGCGCGAUCGUCUCGGUUUUCCGCGAUCGACUGGCGAAUGGAUUGUCUCUUGGCGAUUUUACGUGACAGGAAGUGAAAAAUAAAAUUUACUCCUAUGCGGAGCAUUUCUUCGAGAAUAGGAGACGGUCUCUGUAAUCUCUGUCUUCUAUAAUCCAUACUUGGAGCCAUACUUGGAGCCAUACUUGGAAAACCCUUAUUGUCGUUAGCGCCAGGUGCAAUAAAAUUUAAGAUGUUUAGUCAUUGUGAGUGUCUACCGCGUCAAUGUCAAAAAUCCGCCGAAAUC
RNAcentral lists this long non-coding RNA (1915 nucleotides) under Ooceraea biroi (clonal raider ant). RNAcentral's name for it is "uncharacterized LOC113562149". The record is from RNAcentral. Lineage: Eukaryota; Metazoa; Arthropoda; Insecta; Hymenoptera; Formicidae.